GACGAACGCUGGCGGCGUGCUUAACACAUGCAAGUCGAACGGAAAGGCCCUGCUUUUGUGGGGUGCUCGAGUGGCGAACGGGUGAGUAACACGUGAGUAACCUGCCCUUGACUUUGGGAUAACUUCAGGAAACUGGGGCUAAUACCGGAUAGGAGCUCCUGCUGCAUGGUGGGGGUUGGAAAGUUUCGGCGGUUGGGGAUGGAUUCGCGGCUUAUCAGCUUGUUGGUGGGGUAGUGGCUUACCAAGGCUUUGACGGGUAGCCGGCCUGAGAGGGUGACCGGGGACAUGGGGCCUGAGGGAGGGAGCAGUAGGGUACGGGACGCAAUAGUGGAGAGUAUUACGCAGUAAGGGCGAGCGAGAGACGGAGGCUCCGCGUGCGGGAUGAUGUCUUACUGGUUGUGAACCGCUGUGGCCUGUGAUGUGGAGGGAGUGACGGUAAUGGGUCAGGAAGCACCGGCUAACUACGUG
This 468-nucleotide ribosomal RNA is filed under the name uncultured bacterium. Its description in RNAcentral is "partial 16S ribosomal RNA". It matches the Rfam family "Bacterial small subunit ribosomal RNA", at positions 28 to 507 of the family's 1533-position model. The record is from RNAcentral.